RNAcentral lists this ribosomal RNA (1099 nucleotides) under Triticum aestivum (bread wheat). Its description in RNAcentral is "partial small subunit ribosomal RNA". Lineage: Eukaryota; Viridiplantae; Streptophyta; Magnoliopsida; Poales; Poaceae. The record is from RNAcentral.
GUCAAAAGUGGGGGUUUCCUUGGGCAUCGGAGUGUAGGUGAGCGCAAUUGGGUUAGGUGAGACGGGGACGGGGGUUGAAGGUGGCGCCGGCAAGAGCCCCAGAGGCAGGAGCCUGGGCAGGGACGGCGGUGGACGCCGGUAUCGGGGCUCGAGGGGCGGGGGAGGUAGCGGAUGGAAGGAACCAGGGAAGCGACGGGUUCAGGGGUGGCGGCCGCCACUCGUAUUGGGUCUAGGGGAUUGGUGUAGCUACGUACGGAAGGGAUCACUGCACUGGUGGCUGUCGGGGCAGGUGGCCCCGGAAGUGGCUGGUGGCGAUCGGGAGAGCUUCCUGGUUCUGUUGCGGGAGGUGAGAGAGGAGAGUCCCUUUCUAGGAAGGAUAAGAAGGAGAGACCUUCCUGGUCCUGUAGCGGGAGAAGAAGAAGGAGAGUCCCUUUCUAAGGUAUACACGAACACGAUCUCCGUACGGCGACCGUGGCAACCCGGGAGUAAAUACAAUAUGUUCGGUAAACUCCUAUACUGCACUACUCGAUAAAAAAUCAGUUGCGUACCGCUCAGGUGAACCUUGACUUAUCGACUAGACUAUCACACCCACCCUAUAUGUUUUGUUGGAACUCUACACAGGCGCUGGUUAGGUGUAAGCCGUGUUGAGGGUGUUGAACUUGUGGUUCGAGAAACGGUAAAUUUACCAACUCUCUUAUUUGACCUACCUACUGGUUAGGCUCUUCCCGUAACUUGUUUCACAUCCAUAGUACCAGUCAAUAGAGAUUCUUAAGAUCCAUGAAUCGGUUGACCACGUGUACCUGCACUACUGAAACGUCGCAAAUGCCUGGUUGGUUGAACAUUAGUACCUAGAAUACACAACAUCUGGUAAACCACUAAAACAAUAAAACCUCGACCGUAAAACACGUACACCUAUGUCUGAACACACAAGACCUAGUAGAUCAACUUCAAAGAGUAUGGCCGUUUAUCACAGUAGAAAAACACUGAACACACAAGACCCACUAAUAACUCUACCAUUUUUGAUACGAAACAGUUCUAACUACACAAACAGUUGAACACAAGUUACAUAUACGUACAAACACUUAUAUAAAGUAACAAC